This 239-nucleotide unclassified non-coding RNA is filed under the name plant metagenome. RNAcentral describes it as "partial contains small subunit ribosomal RNA and internal transcribed spacer 1". The stretch from base 1 to 46 matches the Rfam family "Eukaryotic small subunit ribosomal RNA", at positions 1786 to 1831 of the family's 1831-position model. The record is from RNAcentral.
AAGUCGUAACAAGGUUUCCGUAGGUGAACCUGCGGAAGGAUCAUUACCGAGUUCAGGGUGCCGUAAAAAGCGCCCGACCUCCAACCCUUUGACUACGAACAAUGUUGCCUCGGCGGGUCGUCGAGCGCCUAGCAAUAGGCCUCGCCGUCGGCUCCUAGGAGCCCUCGUGCGCCCGUCGAAGGAUUGAAAUAAACCACAUUUGAAACCAGCCCUCUGAGUGAAAUUAUAAUACUUCAAAA